This 253-nucleotide ribosomal RNA is filed under the name uncultured bacterium. RNAcentral describes it as "partial 16S ribosomal RNA". It matches the Rfam family "Bacterial small subunit ribosomal RNA", at positions 524 to 776 of the family's 1533-position model. The record is from RNAcentral.
UACAGAGGUCCCAAGCGUUGUUCGGAUUCAUUGGGCGUAAAGGGUGCGUAGGCGGCGCGGUAAGUCGGGUAUGAAAUCUCGGAGCUUAACUUCGAAACUGCAUUCGAUACUGCCGUGCUUGAGGACUGGAGAGGAGACUGGAAUUUACGGUGUAGCGGUGAAAUGCGUAGAUAUCGUAAGGAAGACCAGUGGCGAAGGCGGGUCUCUGGACAGUUCCUGACGCUGAGGCACGAAGGCCAGGGGAGCAAACGGG